This is an RNA transcript of Pan troglodytes (chimpanzee), 6181 nucleotides long. It is a transcript of the gene named REST corepressor 1, with no coding region annotated. The record is from RefSeq and is a predicted model, not a curated record. The transcript has 12 exons. NCBI's taxonomy places the organism in Eukaryota, Metazoa, Chordata, Mammalia, Primates, Hominidae.
GGCGCCCCUGCAGGCCCCGCCCCUGCCUCCUCCCCUCUCCGCUCGCUGCUCCCGGAGUAGUUGGUGCCAGUGAAGUGAGGGCGGCGAUGAGAGCGAAAGUUGCGCUCGGCUCGUCGCUGGGGGCUUGAAGCGGCUCCGCGCUCUGCCCGUUUGGGCCUCCCCCGACUCGGACUCGCGCCCGUGGGCUCCCGCCGCGCCCGCCCGGCCCCGCGCCGGCCCCGCGCCCCCUCCCCCGUCUCGGCGCCCCCUCCUCAGGAGCCGCGGGUCCCCGCCACUUUCGCACGGCCCCGGCCCCCGCCGAUGCCGGCCAUGGUGGAGAAGGGCCCCGAGGUCUCAGGGAAGCGGAGAGGGAGGAACAACGCGGCCGCCUCCGCCUCCGCCGCCGCCGCCGCCUCGGCCGCCUGCGCCUCGCCAGCCGCCACUGCCGCCUCGGGCGCCGCCGCCUCCUCAGCCUCGGCCGCCGCCGCCUCAGCCGCCGCCGCCCCCAAUAAUGGCCAGAAUAAAAGUUUGGCGGCGGCGGCGCCCAAUGGCAACAGCAGCAGCAACUCCUGGGAGGAAGGCAGCUCGGGCUCGUCCAGCGACGAGGAGCACGGUGGCGGUGGCAUGAGGGUCGGACCCCAGUACCAGGCGGUGGUGCCCGACUUCGACCCCGCCAAACUGGCAAGACGCAGUCAAGAACGGGACAAUCUUGGCAUGUUGGUCUGGUCACCCAAUCAAAAUCUGUCAGAAGCAAAGUUGGAUGAAUACAUUGCCAUUGCCAAAGAAAAGCAUGGGUACAACAUGGAACAGGCUCUUGGGAUGCUCUUCUGGCAUAAACAUAAUAUCGAAAAGUCAUUGGCUGAUUUGCCCAACUUUACCCCUUUCCCAGAUGAGUGGACUGUGGAAGAUAAAGUCUUAUUUGAGCAAGCCUUUAGUUUUCAUGGGAAAACUUUUCAUAGAAUCCAACAAAUGCUUCCUGAUAAAUCUAUAGCAAGUCUGGUGAAAUUUUACUAUUCUUGGAAGAAGACGAGGACUAAAACUAGUGUGAUGGAUCGACAUGCCCGGAAACAAAAACGGGAGCGGGAGGAGAGCGAGGAUGAACUGGAAGAGACAAAUGGAAACAAUCCCAUUGACAUUGAGGUUGAUCAAAACAAGGAAAGCAAAAAGGAGGUUCCCCCUACUGAGACAGUUCCUCAGGUCAAAAAAGAAAAACAUAGCACACAAGCUAAAAAUAGAGCAAAAAGGAAACCUCCAAAAGGAAUGUUUCUUUCUCAAGAAGAUGUGGAGGCUGUUUCUGCCAAUGCCACUGCUGCUACCACGGUGCUGAGACAACUAGACAUGGAAUUGGUUUCAGUCAAACGACAGAUCCAGAAUAUUAAACAGACGAACAGUGCUCUCAAAGAAAAACUUGAUGGUGGAAUAGAACCAUAUCGACUUCCAGAGGUCAUUCAGAAAUGUAAUGCACGUUGGACUACAGAAGAGCAGCUUCUCGCCGUACAAGUUACUCAUCGAGCUCUGACUCGUCAGAAGUACAAAACCCCAAAAGAAGCAGACAGAGUGUUCGGCUUUAAAGGUUGGGGGUGCUCUGGACCUGCGAUACCAAAAGAUGAAUGCAGAAUGUCUCCAACCCUAGGGCAAUUGCUGGGUGACUUCAGCUGUUAUGUGACAUGUAAUGGGAAGACAGAUAUCAAAAUGACAGGGUCGGUCAUCUCCAGAAUGUGUCUAGAAUUGACUGGUACUUUUUCCUACUCUAAUAAUACACGAAAUUAUUGCCUGCUGUUAAAAGCCUGUAUGUUUUCUUAUCUGGAUAAAGAGGUAAGUGUCACUUGUGGUUUUAAAAAAAUGUUUUUCUCUUGUGUUUUAAAAAAUGCUUUCUUACAUCCUUAGCCAUCAGGAAAUAUGGCCGAGAUUUUCAGGCAAUCUCAGACGUGAUUGGGAACAAAUCAGUGGUACAAGUGAAAAACUUUUUUGUAAAUUAUCGACGCCGCUUCAACAUAGAUGAAGUUUUACAAGAAUGGGAGGCAGAACAUGGUAAAGAAGAGACCAAUGGGCCCAGUAACCAGAAGCCUGUGAAGUCCCCAGAUAAUUCCAUUAAGAUGCCCGAAGAGGAAGACGAGGCUCCUGUUCUGGAUGUCAGAUAUGCAUCUGCCUCCUGAGAAACUGGUGGCUUUGAACACUUGGUGUGGACUACUGUGUUAUCCGGGAUAUCAGGUAUUACGAGACAUCACCUAGCCAUCUGCAUCACAUCUCUCUGGACAAGCAGCUAUUACCAAAAAAGGCAUAUACUUCCAGUCCUGUGCUCCAUCUGCCUUAAUUCUUUGCUCGUUCCUCCAUGUUGGCGCCACUUCCCAGAGAGCUCCACUGCAUCUCACACUCUGCCCACGUGCUGGGGAAAUCUCAUGGCCUGCACAUCUCUUGUGACUCUGGGAACCGCCUCUCCCGCCGGAGCCCCCGAGCCCCACCAAUGGCAGCUCUUCCCAGUCAGCAGCUUCAGAGCAGGCAGUCUCCUCGGAAGGCCCGACUCUGUUCCUGCAUGGCCUGCAGUUUCUACUUUGUGCAUAGAGUAAUUUUCAGAGUAACCGCGACCCUGUUGGCCUUCUAGAAAGUUUCUCUUGUUCUUUUCUGAGACAACCACCUAAGUGAUAAUACGCUUUUUUGGAAACUAAUAUAUAUAGCCAGACUGCAUCAUAACCUUUAUCAUGCCAAGCAUCCUGAUGCAACUCACAUUUCCCUAAACAUGGGGUAUAGUUAUGAUUUAUAAAUUGAGUUGGCUUAAAUCUCCCUCUUCUCCCUUCCCAAGUGUUACAAAGAUCAUUUACUGCAACUGUCGUUGGACACUGUAGCUUAAAGGGAACGUGGACCUCAAUGCUUUCUGCCUUCAACUUUUCAGCAUUGUGACCCCAGGGUGGUUGCCACCCCAUCUUUUCCUGACCCCCCCCCCCCACCUCCAAGAGGUUCGGCCCACAUCACUGUACCUGGUGCUUGUAAAUUUGGAAUUGGUGCCUUCUCCUUUUGGCAACCAUGGUUAUCAAUCCUUUUUCUGUUUUAGUGUCUUAUUUCUUCUUUCAAGUUAUUUGCUAGCCAAAGAUGACAUCACUGAGAUUAGGAGACAGGGGAGAGCUUGCUGCAGAUUCUGACAGUGCAGAUUUUAAAUGUCAGGAUAUUAGAAUAGCUGGCGCUGGUUUAUGAAAGCUGCGCGUUGUUCCGCGUUCUCUCGGUGCGCCUGGCCUUUUAUGUGGCACUCUGUAUGUCAGUUUGUGUCCUUCAUGUGCUGAUGUGAUUACACAAACACCAUCCACUCUCUUUUCAUAUCAGAGUACAGGACAGAGAAGUGAUCAAUGUAUUGGUCUAGUGAGACUGAGAUGAAAAGAAAUAACCUACAGAGUGGUCUGUAAUGCCUUUUGGUUGGACUGGGAACAAGUAAAAAUUUCUAAUAAACAUUUUGAGACUUCCAGAAUCACUUUUGUUAUCUUACCAGACCAUGGGCCUGCUGAGGGUUGAGGAGCAGACAGCCUGCAUUCUAACAUACCCUGUUCCCACCCCACGGCCAUUCAGACUGCACUCAAUACGCCGAAGUCGCUUUUGUUGUUGUUGUUGUUUGCAUCAUUUGGAUUUUUUUUCUGCUUUCAAUACCAAAAAAAUGCAGAUGCUUUAAGGCAUAAACAGAAUUCUUAAGAAUUUAAAAUAUGCAAUUAAAGUUUGAUAUGUUUUGACUCCCAAGCACCUUGUUUUUUGUUGUUGUUGUUGAAGUCAGCUGAUUUUCUCUUUAGAAAGAGGGUCAGCUAGAAACCUAGGAUUUUUGGAAUUGUAAAUUUUUUUUUAGUAUAGUCUGGAGAGAAAGGUCAUUCAAAAGGGAAGUACAAUGGGACUUGCUGCCCUUCAUCAUCUCGUUCCCGUGCCAGGUGUGUGUUGGUCACGUAAAAGCCUGGGAAGCAUCAGAGGAGUCCCGGAUUGCUGCUGCUACCUGGAGACAGGGUUAGCAAAAUAACACUAGUGAUGAGGGAGAGGCUUCUUUUCACCAUAAGCCUGCUGUGUACACCGAGGGCGGCAGGAGAAGCAUGGGAAGGAGUCAGCCUAAGUUUGCACAUUGCAUAAAGGGUACACUAAGGUAUGAGCUGAAGCUUUAGGUUCUCCGUGCUUCCCUCAAGACCUGCUCCUUGCUAACAGAAGCAGUAGGCAAUUGCUGCAGUGCGUUUCUCACCCUGCCAAUAGGUCUGUCUAUAUCUCUGUUAAGGAAAAUAGCCUGGUCCCUCCUGGCAGUGCUUGGAAGCUUGAUGCUAAUUUUUAUAUAGCGUGGCAAGCUGACCAGCAGUGCCAGGCCUUGAUCUGUAUUCUGCACUAUCCCUUUACUUGGUUCCUGGCACUGAAUGGUCUCCAACCCUGAAGAAUCACGUGUGAUCACAGCAGCUGACCUGGGCUUUCUCCCCGAGAGGAAGGGGCAUGUCAUUUUUAUUUGACAGAGGGAAAAUGGGAGCUGUCCUUGACUGCCUUUGUUGUGCUUUCCCGCGUUAAGAUAGCACUGUGUUUUAAACUGUUGCAUUACACUGUCUUUGCAAUGAUGUAAAUGUAAGAAAUCACUUAGCUUUAAAAGCGCAGUGGUUUGAUCUUAUUUAUAUGAAGACUUUUUAACAUAUCAAGAAUUAGGUGCAUUGGCAGGUAGGGUUUGGGGUGUGAUAACUGCUUCAGAUGGAAUGUUCACUUAAGCUUUGUCUUCUUAAAAAUUAUCAAUGUGAAUGUCAUAAUUAUAUAUAUUUUUGUGGAAAAUUUUCUCCUAAGUAUAAGUUAUUGUGCAAAAUAUAGUGUCAUUGAUGCAAAUAAUAGUUUAACUUUUAGUUUAGAACUCCUAAAAGAUAUAAGUUGUAUUGCAUAUGCAUUAAAAGUUUGUUUUAUUUAAUUUUAUGUAGAUAUGUCAAGUGUUAGGUAAAAUUUUUUUCACUUAUCCAUUUAAACACCUUGUUACUUGAAUAUUGUGUUGACUGGUCUGCAACAGUGAUCCAUUCUGUAAUAUAGCUCUUUUAACUGGGAAGGAACCACACCCCAGUUGUGCCGAUUACAUUAGUGUUGGCACACAGUCGGGUGCUAGUGUAACACAAAUGCCACGUUGUCUGGGUGUACAGUGUUUGUGGAGACGCCACUUCCUCAAAAUGGUUUUUGAUCGUUUUUAACCUAUAAGACGUUUUGAUGCUCACAAACCUCUAUUCAACACACAAAACAAACAUGAAAAGGUAGUUAGUUGGGUUGUAACAGCUUACUGGGGUGGACUCAUGAAGCAGUGGCUUUCUGUUCAUCUAAAGUUUCCUCAGAUACCACAGACCACUGUUAAGUGUGCUCAUUGUCACUUUAAAUUUCAACGAUACCCUAUUUUUGUCAUUCUAAAUAUCAGACGUACUAUUGGUAUAAUUGCACACCAAAAAUAAGCCAAACAGUGCAUUACGCUAACUGGAUCCCUGCUUUUAUGUGAGCUAAGGAAAGAUGGAGCCAACUCCAACGAGGGCCUCUUUUUCUCUCUUGUCUAGCCUGUUUCUAAACCGAAUGAUCCAGGAUUCAAGCUUCUAUUGUCAAGUGAAACUUUCCUCAGAUGGACUCCAGGUGGCCAGGUCACCUAAACCUAGUGGUCCUGUGCGAUGCUCUUUCUGCCAGUCCCUGAAUCUCUGCAGCUUCUCUUACCUGUCUUACCUGUAGUAAAGCACAAUUGCAGUGGCGUCGCAUUCAGAAGAAGGGAAGGUCAGCAGAGGCUAUGCAUGUUGUGUGAUGAUGAGUGUUUACAGCCACCUUCUCCUAAAACGAAAUUUAUACCGGGGUGGAUAGUAUUCCAUUAGGUAGACUUAUCGACUUUGCUAAGUGCUUUUUAGACAGCUUAAAAAAUUUUCAAGAUUUUAAAAGAUGUAUAAGGUUAAGUUUGCAAAUAUAAUGGAAAUGCUGUAUAUCUUUUGAAGUGAUGAAAUCCACGUUGGAAUUUUAAAGAAAAUAUGUUGUAAUAAUGCUGUUGUAAGUAAUAUUUUAAUGUCUCUUUGCCUGUUUUCUAUUUCAGCACAUUCAUUGUGGUGAAUGUUCAUAGCAUUAUAACUGCUUAGCCAUUGAAUGAUAACAUUUGUUAGUGGAAAUUGGAAAAUUUAUUUGUGAAAUUCUGCAGAAUUCAUUUUUCUAUUUCCAAUAUUUGCUGAGGUUAAAUAAAAAUUUUCAAGCCAUUGAUGUAAUAAAA